Molecule: transfer RNA, 76 nt
Filed under: Siphoviridae sp. ctgN495
Lineage: Duplodnaviria; Heunggongvirae; Uroviricota; Caudoviricetes
Description: tRNA-Thr
Rfam family: tRNA
About the family: Transfer RNA (tRNA) molecules are approximately 80 nucleotides in length. Their secondary structure includes four short double-helical elements and three loops (D, anti-codon, and T loops).
Source: RNAcentral
GCUGGAUUAGCUCAGUUGGCAGAGCGCGUGAUUUGUAAUCUCGAGGUCAAGGGUUCGAGUCCCUUAUCUAGCUCCA